GAUGAACGCUGGCGGCGUGCCUAAUACAUGCAAGUCGAACGAAGCCUUCGGGCUUAGUGGCGAACGGGUGAGUAACACGUUGGUACCUACCCUCUAGUGGGGAAUAACUGGCCGAAAGGUCGGCUAAUACCGCAUAAUACCGCAAGGUUAAAGCAGCAAUGCGCUAGAGGAGGGGCCUGCGUCCCAUUAGCUUGUUGGUAGUGUAAUGGACUACCAAGGCGACGAUGGGUAGCUGGAUCGAGAGGUUGACCAGCCACACUGGGACUGAGAUACGGCCCAGACUCCUACGGGAGGCAGCAGUAAGGAAUCUUCCACAAUGGACGAAAGUCUGAUGGAGCAACGCCGCGUGCAGGAUGACGGCCUUCGGGUUGUAAAUUGCUUUUAUAUGGGAAGAUUAUGACGGUACCAUAUGAAUAAGGACCGGCUAACUACAUGCCAGCCGCCGCGGUAA
This 451-nucleotide ribosomal RNA is filed under the name uncultured bacterium. RNAcentral describes it as "partial 16S ribosomal RNA". It matches the Rfam family "Bacterial small subunit ribosomal RNA", at positions 28 to 523 of the family's 1533-position model. The record is from RNAcentral.